ACGGGUGAGUAAUAUAUCGGAACGUACCCUAGAGUGGGGGAUAACGCAGCGAAAGUUGCGCUAAUACCGCAUACGAUCUACGGAUGAAAGUGGGGGAUCGCAAGACCUCAUGCUCAUGGAGCGGCCGAUAUCUGAUUAGCUAGUUGGUAGGGUAAAAGCCUACCAAGGCUUCGAUCAGUAGCUGGUCUGAGAGGACGACCAGCCACACUGGAACUGAGACACGGUCCAGACUCCUACGGGAGGCAGCAGUGGGGAAUUUUGGACAAUGGGCGCAAGCCUGAUCCAGCAAUGCCGCGUGAGUGAAGAAGGCCUUCGGGUUGUAAAGCUCUUUUGUCAGGGAAGAAACGGUGGACUCUAAUACAGAUCACUAAUGACGGUACCUGAAGAAUAAGCACCGGCUAACUACGUGCCAGCAGCCGCGGUAAUACGUAGGGUGCAAGCGUUAAUCGGAAUUACUGGGCGUAAAGCGUGCGCAGGCGGUUGUGCAAGACAGAUGUGAAAUCCCCGGGCUCAACCUGGGAAUUGCAUUUGUGACUGCACGGCUAGAGUGUGUCAGAGGGGGGUAGAAUUCCACGUGUA
Molecule: ribosomal RNA, 579 nt
Filed under: uncultured Herminiimonas sp.
Lineage: Bacteria; Pseudomonadati; Pseudomonadota; Betaproteobacteria; Burkholderiales; Oxalobacteraceae
Description: bacterial SSU rRNA
Rfam family: Bacterial small subunit ribosomal RNA
Source: RNAcentral